This 340-nucleotide long non-coding RNA is filed under the name Olea europaea subsp. europaea. Lineage: Eukaryota; Viridiplantae; Streptophyta; Magnoliopsida; Lamiales; Oleaceae. The record is from RNAcentral.
CCUCUAAAGCGAGCUUAAACCAAUAAUAAAAUUGUAUCCCUUAGGAACCGUACAUACACCUUUUGACGCAUACGGUUCAAAAAAGAAUUGCGAAAAAAAAAAAAGAAUUAAUGUCUAGAUUCAAGUCCUCUUUCUUUGUUCCUAUUCUUUUUUCAUAGCAGGUUUUUUCUGACUUCUAAUGAAAGGACUUUUUCUUCGGUUUUCAAUAAAGACGAAUUUGAAAUUCUUUCUUCCUUAUAAUAGAAAAAAAGUCACUAAACUUAUCGAAUUAACUUCUCAUUGAUGUAUUGUUUCAUCGAGAUUCAAUCCAAAUCACGAUGGUAUUUUCUUGAAUCCAUAA